CUGGCGACAGAGCGAAGCGGCAUGGUGUAAACACCCUUGAUUUUGGCUUCGGUGUGAAAAUUGAUCCGGUAUGAAAAUCAAUCCGGUAUAGUGUAAUCCCAGCCUUACUCUUAUGUAACUACGGUGAGGCGGUUCAGGGUAAAAACCGAAGACGGUCUGAUAUUUUAAUUUCUUCAAUACUCAUAUUAUAUGCAUCAUGUCGAUCAUAUUUUACGCAUCUUUGCGUUCAGUUGGUGCUG
Non-coding RNA from Paramuricea clavata, 239 nucleotides. The record is from the annotation of a GenBank genome assembly. NCBI's taxonomy places the organism in Eukaryota, Metazoa, Cnidaria, Anthozoa, Malacalcyonacea, Plexauridae.